CAACUUCCACCUGGCAUACCUCUUCAGCUAUGCGUCUAGGCUUGUAUCGCUUUGAGCGUAAUGUGGGUUUCCUGUGUUGCAUACCAAAUUGAUGGUAUUGUUUUGGUUUAUCGAAGUCCCUUUUCAUCUUGUGUUGCUUUUGUGAUGCAAGAUGAACCUUGAAGUGGUGUCUAUGUUCCAUCAUGUCGAUGCAAAUGCGUUGAUAUUGUGGCCCAUUGAGUGUUGCUUGGUAUCCUGGAUACGGAAUAUUAUGUGGGCAUGGGGUCUUUCAUGACUCCUGUUCUGUCCUCAUUCAGUGUUCUUCGAAACGACGGUUCAUGCGCGCCUAGGCUCGUACCUGCGUGAUGUUCUUUGUCAAAGAGGAAUGCUACCUGGUUGAUCCUGCCAGUAGUCAUAUGCUUGUCUCAAAGAUUAAGCCAUGCAUGUGUAAGU
This 432-nucleotide unclassified non-coding RNA is filed under the name Kleinia neriifolia. RNAcentral's name for it is "partial contains external transcribed spacer and 18S ribosomal RNA". The stretch from base 369 to 432 matches the Rfam family "Eukaryotic small subunit ribosomal RNA", at positions 1 to 64 of the family's 1831-position model. The record is from RNAcentral. Lineage: Eukaryota; Viridiplantae; Streptophyta; Magnoliopsida; Asterales; Asteraceae.